This 2900-nucleotide ribosomal RNA is filed under the name Klebsiella pneumoniae. Its description in RNAcentral is "bacterial LSU rRNA". It matches the Rfam family "Bacterial large subunit ribosomal RNA". The record is from RNAcentral. Lineage: Bacteria; Pseudomonadati; Pseudomonadota; Gammaproteobacteria; Enterobacterales; Enterobacteriaceae.
UUAAGCGACUAAGCGUACACGGUGGAUGCCCUGGCAGUCAGAGGCGAUGAAGGACGUGCUAAUCUGCGAAAAGCGUCGGUAAGGUGAUAUGAACCGUUAUAACCGGCGAUGUCCGAAUGGGGAAACCCAGUGCAAUUCGUUGCACUAUCGUUAACUGAAUACAUAGGUUAACGAGGCGAACCGGGGGAACUGAAACAUCUAAGUACCCCGAGGAAAAGAAAUCAACCGAGAUUCCCCCAGUAGCGGCGAGCGAACGGGGAGCAGCCCAGAGUCUGAAUCAGCUUGUGUGUUAGUGGAACGGUCUGGAAAGUCCGACGGUACAGGGUGAUAGUCCCGUACACCAAAAUGCACAGGUUGUGAACUCGAAGAGUAGGGCGGGACACGUGGUAUCCUGUCUGAAUAUGGGGGGACCAUCCUCCAAGGCUAAAUACUCCUGACUGACCGAUAGUGAACCAGUACCGUGAGGGAAAGGCGAAAAGAACCCCGGCGAGGGGAGUGAAAAAGAACCUGAAACCGUGUACGUACAAGCAGUGGGAGCACCUUCGGGUGUGACUGCGUACCUUUUGUAUAAUGGGUCAGCGACUUAUAUUCUGUAGCAAGGUUAACCGUAUAGGGGAGCCGCAGGGAAACCGAGUCUUAACUGGGCGUUAAGUUGCAGGGUAUAGACCCGAAACCCGGUGAUCUAGCCAUGGGCAGGUUGAAGGUUGGGUAACACUAACUGGAGGACCGAACCGACUAAUGUUGAAAAAUUAGCGGAUGACUUGUGGCUGGGGGUGAAAGGCCAAUCAAACCGGGAGAUAGCUGGUUCUCCCCGAAAGCUAUUUAGGUAGCGCCUCGUGAACUCAUCUUCGGGGGUAGAGCACUGUUUCGGCUAGGGGGUCAUCCCGACUUACCAACCCGAUGCAAACUACGAAUACCGAAGAAUGUUAUCACGGGAGACACACGGCGGGUGCUAACGUCCGUCGUGAAGAGGGAAACAACCCAGACCGCCAGCUAAGGUCCCAAAGUCAUGGUUAAGUGGGAAACGAUGUGGGAAGGCACAGACAGCCAGGAUGUUGGCUUAGAAGCAGCCAUCAUUUAAAGAAAGCGUAAUAGCUCACUGGUCGAGUCGGCCUGCGCGGAAGAUGUAACGGGGCUAAACCAUGCACCGAAGCUGCGGCAGCGACACUAUGUGUUGUUGGGUAGGGGAGCGUUCUGUAAGCCUGCGAAGGUGUGCUGUGAGGCAUGCUGGAGGUAUCAGAAGUGCGAAUGCUGACAUAAGUAACGAUAAAGCGGGUGAAAAGCCCGCUCGCCGGAAGACCAAGGGUUCCUGUCCAACGUUAAUCGGGGCAGGGUGAGUCGACCCCUAAGGCGAGGCCGAAAGGCGUAGUCGAUGGGAAACAGGUUAAUAUUCCUGUACUUGGUGUUACUGCGAAGGGGGGACGGAGAAGGCUAUGUUAGCCGGGCGACGGUUGUCCCGGUUUAAGCAUGUAGGCUGGUUAUCCAGGCAAAUCCGGAUAAUCAAGGCUGAGGUGUGAUGACGAGGCACUACGGUGCUGAAGUAACAAAUGCCCUGCUUCCAGGAAAAGCCUCUAAGCAUCAGGUAACAUCAAAUCGUACCCCAAACCGACACAGGUGGUCAGGUAGAGAAUACCAAGGCGCUUGAGAGAACUCGGGUGAAGGAACUAGGCAAAAUGGUGCCGUAACUUCGGGAGAAGGCACGCUGGUGUGUAGGUGAAGCCCCUGCGGGUGGAGCUGAGACCAGUCGAAGAUACCAGCUGGCUGCAACUGUUUAUUAAAAACACAGCACUGUGCAAACACGAAAGUGGACGUAUACGGUGUGACGCCUGCCCGGUGCCGGAAGGUUAAUUGAUGGGGUUAUCCGUAAGGAGAAGCUCUUGAUCGAAGCCCCGGUAAACGGCGGCCGUAACUAUAACGGUCCUAAGGUAGCGAAAUUCCUUGUCGGGUAAGUUCCGACCUGCACGAAUGGCGUAAUGAUGGCCAGGCUGUCUCCACCCGAGACUCAGUGAAAUUGAACUCGCUGUGAAGAUGCAGUGUACCCGCGGCAAGACGGAAAGACCCCGUGAACCUUUACUAUAGCUUGACACUGAACAUUGAGCCUUGAUGUGUAGGAUAGGUGGGAGGCUUUGAAGCGUGGACGCCAGUCUGCGUGGAGCCAACCUUGAAAUACCACCCUUUAAUGUUUGAUGUUCUAACGUUGGCCCCUGACCGGGGUUGCGGACAGUGUCUGGUGGGUAGUUUGACUGGGGCGGUCUCCUCCCAAAGCGUAACGGAGGAGCACGAAGGUUAGCUAAUCCUGGUCGGACAUCAGGAGGUUAGUGCAAUGGCAUAAGCUAGCUUGACUGCGAGCGUGACGGCGCGAGCAGGUGCGAAAGCAGGUCAUAGUGAUCCGGUGGUUCUGAAUGGAAGGGCCAUCGCUCAACGGAUAAAAGGUACUCCGGGGAUAACAGGCUGAUACCGCCCAAGAGUUCAUAUCGACGGCGGUGUUUGGCACCUCGAUGUCGGCUCAUCACAUCCUGGGGCUGAAGUAGGUCCCAAGGGUAUGGCUGUUCGCCAUUUAAAGUGGUACGCGAGCUGGGUUUAGAACGUCGUGAGACAGUUCGGUCCCUAUCUGCCGUGGGCGCUGGAGAAUUGAGGGGGGCUGCUCCUAGUACGAGAGGACCGGAGUGGACGCAUCACUGGUGUUCGGGUUGUCAUGCCAAUGGCACUGCCCGGUAGCUAAAUGCGGAAGAGAUAAGUGCUGAAAGCAUCUAAGCACGAAACUUGCCCCGAGAUGAGUUCUCCCUGAGACUUUAAGUCUCCUGAAGGAACGUUAAAGACGAUGACGUUGAUAGGCCGGGUGUGUAAGCGCAGCGAUGCGUUGAGCUAACCGGUACUAAUGAACCGUGAGGCUUAACCUU